Molecule: ribosomal RNA, 378 nt
Filed under: Liriomyza sp. 6 YXL-2023a
Lineage: Eukaryota; Metazoa; Arthropoda; Insecta; Diptera; Agromyzidae
Description: partial large subunit ribosomal RNA
Source: RNAcentral
AAAAGAACUCUGAAUAGAGAGUUAAAUAGUACGUGAAACUGCUUAGAGGUUAAACCCGAUGAACCUGAAUAUCCAAUAUAAAGAAUUCAUCAUUAAUAUAUUAAUUAUAAUUAAUAUAAUGGUGUGCAUUUUCUUUAUAUAAUGGACAUUGUAAUCUAUUAAUAUAAUAUAUAUUUAUCAUAAGAUCAUAAGCAUAUGUUUAUUUUAAUUAAAUUGUUUCGGCUUUUUAAUAUAAAAUAAUUGCUAUUGAUUUGAUAAAGUGUUGAUAGAUUUAAUCAUAUGUAUAAUGCAUAAAUUUAUUUAAAUUUUAUAAUAUAGUAAUAUAUUAUAAGCAUUUAUACGAUUAACAAUGCGAAAGAUUCAGGAAACCUUCGGGAC